Molecule: long non-coding RNA, 526 nt
Filed under: Numida meleagris (helmeted guineafowl)
Lineage: Eukaryota; Metazoa; Chordata; Aves; Galliformes; Numididae
Description: lncRNA (ENSNMEG00000000111.1)
Source: RNAcentral
UAGGAGUUGGACUUGAUGGUCCUUGUGUGUCUCUGCAAACUCAGAAUGUUCUUGAUUCUAUGAAAACACCACUGAUAUAGCAUAGAACAUACUGUGCUUAUAUGUGAUGAAACCUUUGUCCCAUAAAGAGCCAUUGUCAUUGGUGAGGGUGGGGUUUGAGCAAGGAGUGGAUACAGACUGAACCUUUGACUGACUGAGUUAACUGCUUUAGUAGAAACAGUGCACUAACAUGCUGAGGGAAAUCCCAGGGCAAAAUCUAAAUAUGUUGGUGACCGUAAAUGAAGUGCAACACAUGAAUGUAUUCCCCCUGAGAAAUGCAGUAAACUAUUUUGCUAUCAAGAGCAGUAAGAUUUCAUCAUACAGUGAAAUUGUUCUGAUUCUUUCCAGAUAUUUCCAUACAGCGAGAACUGUCUGCUCAGUACUGGUCACAGAAAGCACCUUGAAACUGCUACUCAGCAUUACAGAAGCUCUACUUCCAUUUCAGCCAAAGGUGGAGGAGCCGUUUUCACAGUGUAAUGAGCAAUGA